This is a long non-coding RNA of Aphis gossypii (cotton aphid), 639 nucleotides long. RefSeq lists it as uncharacterized. The record is from RefSeq and is a predicted model, not a curated record. The transcript is spliced from 3 exons. NCBI's taxonomy places the organism in Eukaryota, Metazoa, Arthropoda, Insecta, Hemiptera, Aphididae.
ACAAUGUGCAUUGUACAUUAUACAAAUGUAUUUCACUUACCUAAUUGAAAUAUAUAUGGAAUUAAAUUACCGCCCAGUCUUCCAUAUUAUACAAACGUCCCCUAAUGUUUAGUAGUUUUUAAAUUAAUUUGAACAAAAAAGUGGUAAUUAUAUUUUACAGUAAAUAGUUAUUGAAUGAACUUAGAAAAAUACUGUUCAUUGGCAUCAAAUAUUUCACUUUUGUCUCAUAUUUAGAAGAGUUUUCAAGCACAAAAAAUGGCGUUAUAUCAAUAUCAUUGUGGACAUUAAAAUCAUCAACAUUGCAGCUUCGCAAUCUAACGGUAUAAGGAUUCAAUAAAACCAUAACAAUGUUUUAGUGAAACAGAGAGAGUUAGCGUAGUUAACAUAAUUCAAAAUGAUCAACAAUAAAUGAAACAACCUGUGGCUCUAUCUGCAAGUUCAACCGGCAAUCCAACAGUUAGUGCAUUUUUCAACGAGCUAUUUACUUUUUUUUUACCAAAACUACGUUCAAGUUGUGGGAAGCCGAAAAAUAAUUAAUUUUAAAUAUACAUAUAGUUGCCGAGGAAAAGUAAAUUAAAAUGUUUGCUUAUAUUUUUGUUUUGAUUGUAUUCACAAUAUUAAAAACAAUAUUGUUUUUUA